GGAGUGGUCUUCAAAAUACAUAAAGACAGAUACACGGAUGAAUGCAAAUGGAUAAAGAGGCCCAGACUGGCUAAAGAUAAACCAAAGUAAGAAACAGAAUAUGGAAAAGAUCUGUGAGACGCAAUGAAGUAGGGUGUAAAGGACUCUGAUCUGAGUUUCAGCCCUGGCUCAACAAUUUAAAACUAAGUGACCUUGGACACAUGAACAGUAAGUGAAGAACAACAGCUAAAGUAUGUGGGCUGAUAUUUUUAUCACUGUUGAAAGCUGAGAAAACAAUGUAUGUAUUUCAAGCCAAAGCUAAGGUUUCUGAUGCCCAGAGGAAAAGAAGUUAAAUUGAAGAAAUCACUGGCAGAGAGAAUGGACUUUGUCCCUGGGGAGAGAGGAAGAAGGUAGAAAAAGAAAGCGAUCACCUAUUUCUCCUCCUCUGCACCCCAGAGACAGACCCACCACAGUGGCCAGCAGAUGGAUCUACUCUCCGUGACCGAGGGCUGUCUCUCACUUGUGAUCACGUUUCUUCCACUUGCCUCACAUCUUUCAGUUGCCAUGACCCCUUUUCCUGUUUGCUUGGCUUCCUGGUUCCUCUACCCACAAGUCCUUUUACCAAAAGCAGAGAGGCUGAGACUCAAAGACAGCACUUUUCGUCCUGCCCCUGAGUCUUUCCAUCCCUCCCCUCUAUAGCUGUGACUACUAAGUCAAUGCUACAAUAAUAAAGAAAUUUACUCCAGAAGGGACUGGAAGUGGACCCAAAAACACUUUAGAAACUCACGUGGAUGUUUCAUUAGCAGAAUUAAGUCAUUAAACUCCUCACCCUCAAAUGAAGUAUUCUGAUAGAUUCUAAAGCUGCAUUGAACUUAGCAUUUAUAUAUAGUACCCACUUCAGUGAAAUCCUUUAAACUUGAAAUAGGUCCUUGGAGCUUAAUGAAAAGUUCAGAUUCAGAUUAAACAUGCAUAUGUCUGAAUGUAAAAAAAAGAAGAAAAAAAUACUC
This is a non-coding RNA of Phascolarctos cinereus (koala), 986 nucleotides long. The record is from RefSeq and is a predicted model, not a curated record. NCBI's taxonomy places the organism in Eukaryota, Metazoa, Chordata, Mammalia, Diprotodontia, Phascolarctidae.